AUAUUACUCCCUCCGUCCCAAUAUUCUGGUCUUAAAUUUGUCGAGAUAAGGAUGUACCUAAUACUAAAACGUGACUUGAUACAUUCAUAUUUAGACAAAUCUAAAACAAAAAUUUUGAGACGGAGUGAAUACUAU
Non-coding RNA from Triticum aestivum (bread wheat), 135 nucleotides. The record is from Rfam. Lineage: Eukaryota; Viridiplantae; Streptophyta; Magnoliopsida; Poales; Poaceae.